This 640-nucleotide ribosomal RNA is filed under the name uncultured bacterium. RNAcentral's name for it is "bacterial SSU rRNA". It matches the Rfam family "Bacterial small subunit ribosomal RNA", at positions 202 to 842 of the family's 1533-position model. The record is from RNAcentral.
GAAAGAUUCAUCGGAAGAGGAUGGGCAUGCGGCGCAUUAGCUGGACGGCGGGGUAACGGCCCACCGUGGCGACGAUGCGUAGGGGUUCUGAGAGGAAGGUCCCCCACACUGGUACUGAGACACGGACCAGACUCCUACGGGAGGCAGCAGUGAGGAAUAUUGGUCAAUGGGAGAGAUCCUGAACCAGCCAAGCCGCGUGAGGGAAGACGGCCCUAUGGGUUGUAAACCUCUUUUGUCGGAGAACAAAACCCGGGACGUGUCCCGGACUGCGUGUAUCCGAAGAAAAAGCAUCGGCUAACUCCGUGCCAGCAGCCGCGGUAAUACGGAGGAUGCGAGCGUUAUCCGGAUUUAUUGGGUUUAAAGGGUGCGUAGGCGGUCUGUUAAGUCAGCGGUAAAAUUGCGGGGCUCAACCCCGUCGAGCCGUUGAAACUGGCAGACUUGAGUUGGCGAGAAGUACGCGGAAUGCGCGGUGUAGCGGUGAAAUGCAUAGAUAUCGCGCAGAACUCCGAUUGCGAAGGCAGCGUACCGGCGCCAGACUGACGCUGAGGCACGAAAGCGUGGGGAUCGAACAGGAUUAGAUACCCUGGUAGUCCACGCAGUAAACGAUGAAUGCUGGUUGUCCGGGUCGAAUGAGACCUGG